AUGCUCGCUCGUCCCAGUCGCAUUGACCGCAUCGAACCACGACACGUGAGCACCCGUGGGUCGGCCUCCUCCACGCCAAGUCCCAGCGCGCCCCUUCGCGGCCUGCCCAACCUCCUUCCCACCGAACUGGGCCAUGGCCCAUGGCGUCUGUAGCGGCUACUGCCGCUCAUACCGCGGAGGUUUUUGGACUGAAUCAAAGUCUGGAGUGGGCCGAAGCGGAGCUUGGCCGGUUAAAAAGGCAGUUGGAAGAUCAACAAGUUUUACACAAAUCUUGUUUGCGUUUAGUGCGAACGAAUUUUCAGUAUGAUAGAAUAUGUGUCAUGAUUUGUGCCAGGGGUGAUGACCAAAGUCGAGGCUCUGAAGAAGGUUGUUGCCAAGCUGAGGAAAAGGCAGCCGCAGAGUAGGCUCUUCGUGAGAAGCACGAGGCCAAGGUUGUGGAAGCUAAGCGAGAGCUCCAAGAGGCCAUGAAAAAAUGCGAGACCCUGGAGCGGAGUUUAACGGAGAAAGAAUCCGAACUCGCCAGGUCUUAUCAGGCCGUGUGCGAUGCUCGUGGGGAAACCCAAGACGCCCUACAAGAGAUCCAAGAGGCGAGGGAGAUCACGGCGGAUUUCUCCAGGGAUAUUUGCGGAACUUCCUCGCAGCAUAUCGGAUGCCGCCCAAUUCUACCGAGCCGAAGAGGGGAAUACUAUGGAUAAGCUCUUCUGGCCGCAGUAUCUGGCACCGAAUUAUCCGGUGCCUUUUACCGAUCAACUGAA
Molecule: long non-coding RNA, 755 nt
Organism: Triticum dicoccoides
Lineage: Eukaryota; Viridiplantae; Streptophyta; Magnoliopsida; Poales; Poaceae
Exons: 3
Source: RefSeq, a predicted model, not a curated record